GUGACACGCGGUGAUCAAUGCAGCAGGCGUGAUGAGAAGGCCCCAUGGCCGUCACAGGCCGCGGGAGCCUACGGGACCCAUGGGUUCUCGAUUCUGAACUUCGAAAUCACAUUCAACACUGCCCUUGUGCCUGUAAUCAUAUGGGCUACGGAAAUUAUUUAGACUAUCAGAUACCACCAAUUCCUCACGAAUUUCCGGAGGAAACGUCGUUCAAUGUAGUGCCUCAAUAUUACGAUAGUUCCGGUUAUCACUAUCACGAGUACCAAGAUUCGUCAUUUGACUCGUGCAGUUGCAGUACGGAUAGUACGACAUCGAGCAGAACCUCAUUCCGGAAUCCAUGGUGUAUAUGCCUGGUGGUUUGCGUAAUCGUAGCAGCUUUGGGUAUAGGUUUAGGACUUCCGCUCGCGUUGCAUCCGGACCUGCCAAUGCACACACCAGAAGAGCGUCUAAUGGCCGUUCGUCGGUUACUUCGGGAAACUCCGCUGAUCGACGGACAUAACGAUUUGGCUUGGAAUAUACGGAAGUUUGUGCACAAUAAAUUGAUCGGCUUUAAUCUGAGCGAUAUUUCGAGGAAGGAGCCGUGGAUGAGAAGUCGGUGGUCACAGACCGACAUACCCAGACUGAAGGAAGGGCAGUUGGGUGCACAAUUUUGGUCCGCUUACGUGCCUUGUGGGGCGCAACAUUUAGACGCAGUGCAACUCACGCUGGAGCAAAUUGAUGCGAUUCGUCGACUCGUGGACUCAAAUCCAAAGUACUUUGCGUUCGUGAAGAGCGCCAACGAAAUUUUGGAGGUGCACAAAGAGGGACGGAUAGCGUCACUGAUCGGCGUGGAAGGUGGACAUUCCAUCGGAAACUCGCUGGCUGUCUUGCGGAUGUUCUACAAUUUAGGUGCGCGGUAUUUGACGAUUACCCACACGUGCGAUACGUCAUGGGCUUACGGGUCUAAUUCGCAAGGUACUGGGGGAUUAACGCCCUUCGGCUACAGUGUGAUUAAAGAAAUGAACCGAUUGGGUAUGAUGAUUGAUCUGUCGCACACCUCGGUCAACACUGCAAAAGCGGCCCUGAACGCCUCACAGGCGCCUGUAAUAUUUUCACACUCAAGCGCGUAUUCCUUGUGCAAUUCAAGUCGGAAUGUACCAGAUGACAUACUUAAAUUGGUGGCCCACAACGGCGGAGUUGUCAUGAUUAAUUUCUACACGUACCUCAUCACCUGCAAUGAAACCGCCACCAUAAAGGACGUCAUCAGACACAUUAACCAUAUUCGAACCGUUGCGGGUAUAAAUCACGUAGGCAUCGGUGCAGGAUACGAUGGCAUCAAUAUGACACCGAGUGGACUCGAGGACGUCUCGGGAUAUCCCAGACUGUUAGCCGAGCUUCUGGCAGAUCCCAACUGGUCAUUGAGCGACAUCAAAUUACUAGCAGGGAAAAAUAUACUUCGCGUACUUGCCAAAGUAGAAGCCAUUCGAGAUCAGUGGCAGUUAGCUGCCAUCGUUCCAUUUGAGGAGACUCUCCCGCCCCAAGACUCGCGAUGCGCUUACAAAUUUUCCUGACCGCUUAACAAUCUUACCAUAUCAAUAUUCUGGAAGAUUACGAUCUUGACGUGGAACCAAAUGAAAAACCACGCUUAGAUCUGUGGACGCAAUGAAUUUCUGUGUGGUGGUGCUCAGAGUGAUUAGAACAUUUAAAAAAUAUCCAAAAAAGACAUUCAAAAUCAAAAAAGGCUUUAACGAAUUGUGUUCAGGAACUCUUACAUAUGGAAGUAUAAUUUUCGUAUUAUUGUUCACUCAGCCGCGAACGCUGUAAUAAAAGUGUAAAUGGAACUUUAAGCUAGACAAAGAAAAUUAGAAGUAAUAACGCACAACAUAGAAUAAACUUUGUUAUAAUAUCGAAAGAAUUUUAGGAGCACAAUAAUUAGGUAAAGCUUCCAUUCCGCUUAAAUAGCAAAUUCUAGAUAUCAAAAGUAACUAAAACCAAAAUUAAAAUUGCAAAGUCUAUAUUUGUAACCUUUAAGUUCGUAUGAGUAUAUUUUUCUAUACUAAAUACAUGUUACAGAAACAAUAAAUAUAUUUAGCUAUAUGAAGUUCAUGUUUAAACUGAUUUGGGUGGCAUUGUGUAGUUAUCUAAGUUAGUUUCUGUAUGUUUCACCCUGUAUAGAUAAAGAGUAAGAAAUUCUGAAACAGUUAUAGGUUUAAAAAAAUAUAUAUAUAUUUGGUCGUAAAUAUUUUAUAAAGAGUUUUUACACAAAGGUUGAACUUCGUUGCACUUUUUAAAAAUGUGGACAAUUAUAGAAAAUACGUUAGAAAUGUUUAUAAUACUUAUAUGGCUAAUUUACUUUUAUAUUUUGCAUAUAUUUACAUGUAAGGAGGACCUUACCGCUACGCAUUACUUUGUAUAAGGCGCAUUUAUAUAUAGAUCAAUCAAAA
This is an RNA transcript of Photinus pyralis (common eastern firefly), 2423 nucleotides long. It is a transcript of the gene named dipeptidase 1-like, with no coding region annotated. The record is from RefSeq and is a predicted model, not a curated record. Lineage: Eukaryota; Metazoa; Arthropoda; Insecta; Coleoptera; Lampyridae. The transcript has 3 exons.